GCCCUCGUAGCUCAAUGGUAGAGCGCGUCACUAGUACCGUAACAAGUCAAUGGCGAGAUGCCGGUGCGAUUCCGUCUAGUGGCA
This 84-nucleotide transfer RNA is filed under the name Mollisia scopiformis. RNAcentral's name for it is "Phialocephala scopiformis tRNA". It matches the Rfam family "tRNA". Rfam says of the family: Transfer RNA (tRNA) molecules are approximately 80 nucleotides in length. The record is from Rfam by way of RNAcentral. Lineage: Eukaryota; Fungi; Ascomycota; Leotiomycetes; Helotiales; Mollisiaceae.